CUGGUGUCCAAUCACCAUCAUGAUUAACAAUGCAUAACGAAUAACGAAUAACAAAAAACACCUUGCAUCCAGCCUGCUUCCAGGGUGUCACAAAUACAUGCUCACACAUAUAUAUGCGCACAUCAGUAGGGAGGAAGAGCAGGCACUGAGCAAAGACAGGAAGAAGGUGCAGAUGGCAAGCAUGGAGUCAGCAUGCAUCUAUGCCGUGAGAGGACAUCAGAGCUCUGUGCUUGCACAGGUGCAUCGCAUAUCCCAAGCGGUGGGAGCAUUUUGCACAUCUGGAAACAGUCCGUCAACAUCUGAUUCUGAU
Molecule: long non-coding RNA, 310 nt
Organism: Lagopus leucura (white-tailed ptarmigan)
Lineage: Eukaryota; Metazoa; Chordata; Aves; Galliformes; Phasianidae
Exons: 3
Source: RefSeq, a predicted model, not a curated record